UGAAUACGAGAUGCUACGGCGUCGAAGCAGUCUAUGUCAGACUUCCAAGAAAAGCUUGCACUGUCAAAAACAAAUAAUGCCUGUACCAUAACCGACACAGGUGGGUAGGUAGAGUAUACUAAGGGGCGCGAGAUAACUCUCUCUAAGGAACUCGGCAAAAUGACUCCGUAACUUCGGGAGAAGGAGUGCCUUAUUUUUAAGGUUGCAAUAACAAGAUCCAAGCAACUGUUUACCAAAAACACAGGUCUCCGCGAAGUCGUAAGACGAUGUAUGGGGGCUGACGCCUGCCCAGUGCCAGAAGGUUAAAGAAGUUGGUUAGCAUUCGCGAAGCUGAUAACUGAAGCCCUGGUGAACGGCGGCCGUAACUAUAACGGUCCUAAGGUAGCGAAAUUCCUUGUCGGGUAAGUUCCGACCCGCACGAAAGGCGUAACGACUUCCGCACUGUCUCAACCAGGGACUCAGUGAAAUUGUAUUGGCGGUGAAGAUGCCGUCUACCCGCGAAAAGACGGAAAGACCCCGGCACCUUUACUACAGCUUGACAUUGGAUUUUGAAAUAAUAUGUGUAGGAUAGGUGGGAGGCUUUGAAGCUGGUACGCUAGUAUCGGUGGAGCUACCCUUGAAAUACCACCCUUGUUAUUUUAGGGUUCUAACUUCGACCCGUUAUCCGGGCGAAGGACAGUGUCUGGUGGGUAGUUUGACUGGGGCGGUCGCCUCCCAAAGAGUAACGGAGGCGCGCGAAGGUUCCCUCAGGCUGAUUGGAAACCAGCCAUGGAGUGUAAAGGCAUAAGGGAGCUUGACUGCGAGAGAGACAUUUCGAGCAGGUACGAAAGUAGGUCUUAGUGAUCCGGCGGUCCCGUAUGGAAGGGCCGUCGCUCAACGGAUAAAAGGUACGCCGGGGAUAACAGGCUUAUCGCCCCCAAGAGUUCACAUCGACGGGGCGGUUUGGCACCUCGAUGUCGGCUCAUCACAUCCUGGGGCUGUAGCAGGUCCCAAGGGUUUGGCUGUUCGCCAAUUAAAGUGGUACGUGAGCUGGGUUUAAAACGUCGUGAGACAGUUUGGUCCCUAUCUUUCGUGGGCGCAGGAUAUUUGAGGGGAGCUGUCCCUAGUACGAGAGGACCGGGAUGGACGAACCAAUGGUGUUCCAGUUGUCGCGCCAGCGGCAUUGCUGGGUAGCUAAGUUCGGAAAGGAUAACCGCUGAAAGCAUCUAAGCGGGAAACCUACCUCAAGAUUAGAUAUCCCUCUUGCAUGGAAACAUGCAAAACUGAAGACCCCUUGUAGACCACAAGGUUGAUAGGCCGGGUGUGUAAGUGUGGCAACAUAUUUAGCUUACCGGUACUAAUCGGUCGUGCGGCUU
RNAcentral lists this ribosomal RNA (1355 nucleotides) under metagenome. RNAcentral's name for it is "bacterial LSU rRNA". It matches the Rfam family "Bacterial large subunit ribosomal RNA", at positions 1564 to 2925 of the family's 2925-position model. The record is from RNAcentral.